RNAcentral lists this ribosomal RNA (567 nucleotides) under uncultured Bacilli bacterium. RNAcentral's name for it is "bacterial SSU rRNA". It matches the Rfam family "Bacterial small subunit ribosomal RNA", at positions 61 to 597 of the family's 1533-position model. Lineage: Bacteria; Bacillati; Bacillota; Bacilli. The record is from RNAcentral.
GCCCAACCGAUAUGACGUGCUUGCACUGAAUUGACGUUGGAUUCCCAGUGAGCGGCGGACGGGUGAGUAACACGUGGGCAACCUGCCCUGAAGCGGGGGAUAACAUCUGGAAACAGGUGCUAAUACCGCAUAACAACGAAAACCACAUGGUUUUCGUUUCAAAGAUGGUUUCGGCUAUCACUUCAGGAUGGGCCCGCGGUGCAUUAGCUAGUUGGUAAGGUAACGGCUUACCAAGGCGAUGAUGCAUAGCCGAGUUGAGAGACUGAUCGGCCACAAUGGAACUGAGACACGGUCCAUACUCCUACGGGAGGCAGCAGUAGGGAAUCUUCCACAAUGGGCGCAAGCCUGAUGGAGCAACACCGCGUGAGUGAAGAAGGGUUUCGGCUCGUAAAGCUCUGUUGUUGGAGAAGAACGUGCGUGAGAGUAACUGUUCACGCAGUGACGGUAUCCAACCAGAAAGUCACGGCUAACUACGUGCCAGCAGCCGCGGUAAUACGUAGGUGGCAAGCGUUAUCCGGAUUUAUUGGGCGUAAAGCGAGCGCAGGCGGUUGCUUAGGUCUGAUGUGA